AGAGCGAACGCUGGCGGCAGGCCUAAUACAUGCAAGUCGAGCGGCCCUUCGGGGUAGCGGCGGACGGGUGAGUAACGCGUGGGAACGUGCCCUUUGGUACGGAACAACUGAGGGAAACUUCAGCUAAUACCGUAUGUGCCCUUCGGGGGAAAGAUUUAUCGCCAUUGGAGCGGCCCGCGUUAGAUUAGCUAGUUGGUGGGUAAAGGCCUACCAAGGCAACGAUCUAUAGCUGGUCUGAGAGGAUGAUCAGCCACACUGGGACUGAGACACGGCCCAGACUCCUACGGGAGGCAGCAGUAGGGAAUCUUGCGCAAUGGGCGAAAGCCUGACGCAGCCAUGCCGCGUGAAUGAUGAAGGUCUUAGGAUUAGUAAAAUUCUUUCACCGGGACGAUAAUGACGGUACCCGGAGAAGAAGCCCGGCUAACUUCGCGCCAGCAGCCGC
This 442-nucleotide ribosomal RNA is filed under the name uncultured soil bacterium. RNAcentral describes it as "bacterial SSU rRNA". It matches the Rfam family "Bacterial small subunit ribosomal RNA", at positions 26 to 518 of the family's 1533-position model. The record is from RNAcentral.